RNAcentral lists this long non-coding RNA (1501 nucleotides) under Panax ginseng (ginseng). RNAcentral's name for it is "long non-coding RNA (PGIN_LNC001399)". The record is from RNAcentral. Lineage: Eukaryota; Viridiplantae; Streptophyta; Magnoliopsida; Apiales; Araliaceae.
ACAUGUCCAACUACCAAAACAUUGAGCUAGUCGGUACUAAUUUAAAAAAAAAUAGGUAUAAUUUCCUUUAAAAAUAGAUAUCUAAAAAAUUCUAAACCUGUAUAAACCUGUAUAAUUAGGUAACUUUACAAAAGACGUAACGGGCAAAAUACACACAUCAAGCUAGUUGAUACUAAUUUUAAAAAAUUUCGACAAAAUUUCCUUUAAAAAUAGAUAUCCAGACAAAUAUAAACCUGUCUAUAAAACUUACAAUCAUUCAUACAUAUCCAAACCACAAAAAAAACAAUCAUUCCAUACCCAAAAUCAUAAUAACCAUGUAUAAUUAGUUAACUUUACAAAAUACGGAACAGAAAAAUACAUACAUGAAGAAAUUAAAUCAUACUCAAUCAUCAACACAUCCAACCACCAAAACAUCAAGUUAGUUGCUACUAAUUUCAAAAAAAUUCGGCAGAAUUUCCUUUAAAAAUAGAUAUCCAGAAAAAUCUAAACCUGUUUACAAAACUUACAAUCAUCCAUACAUAUCCAAACCACCAAAAAAACCAUCAUUCCAUACCCAAAAUCAUCAUAACCAAGUAUAAUUAGCUAAAUUUACAAAAGGCGGAACACAAAAAAUACAUACAUACAGAAAAUAGAGAAACAACAUGUUGAGCAUAAAACCUUUUACUUUACAGCUUACACCAAGUAUAUUAUUUACAACUUACAUCAUGUAUCCUUCAAUAUAUACCUGAAAUUUAAAAAUUAUUGAAAUAGGUAAGUCAGAAUAAAACAAUUGUAAAUCCGAAACAUAAGACCCCUUACUUUACCCUGAAUUAUCUAAAAAAUAAAUGAGCACACAUAUUUGUAUGUAGGGGGAAUGAAUUAGUUUGAUAUAAGUAAGAAUUUAGAGAGAUUGUAACAACUAAUCAAUUUUUUUAGGAAAAGAUAUGGACUUACAAUCAAAUAAAGUUUUCUUAGUACUAUUUCAACAAACGGUUCAUUUGCUUAAUGGCGUGUGAGCUUGAUUUGCGUGUGUUUGAUUGGUUACAGUUAUGUGUGUGUGUUUGUGCAUAUAUUAUGUGUGUUGUGUGUCUGCAUGAGAAGUAGAUAAAUAUAGUCUUAGUAAGAGAGACUUUCACACCUAGACAAUUGUUUGGUCAAUUAAUGGUAGGUUAGUAAUCGCCAAAGGUGGACAUGUCAGUACUGGAUUGUAUAUCAUUUAAUUCUCUUAAAUGUCUUUUUCAUCCCUUUAAACCUUCUCUUCAUGUCCUCGUAUCAAUACAAACGCACUUUGCCCAAUGAGGAGAAUGCACAACCACCUAUAUUAUUUACACAAACAAUAAAAUUAACACUAUUUAUAAUAUAGGAAUAGUAAAAUUAUUCUGAUGCAGUGACAUAAAAGUAGAUUUACCUGAUUACGUCGGCCCCAUCCACAACGGUCCAUUGUAUAUAUUUUAUUGUUCUCGUUGACAAAUUCACUCCAAUCCUACAAAGAAUGAACCUCAUUGUAAAAUUAAAAGUUGAA